UAGCUUGGCAGCCGGUCGGGUAGGGUGGGCUCGCGUCCGGGUGGAUUCGGGUUGCGUCCGAAGACCGUGUUUGUUUCGGCGUCUGUAGAAAAUCACCUUCGGCCUCUACCGUGGCCACGGGUGAGAUCCGGCGCCUAAAGCCAGCGGGGCCUCAGCUCACCGCCCGCCCGCAGUGCGCGCAGGACCCCGGAUGCCCCGAGCUGGAAGUCGCGACCGUCGGAACCGCAGGUGUGUGGGGGGGAUCCCGCCUCGCUUCAAUGAGGCUGCGGGUCGUGGGGUCCGGGAGGUGGCACAGUGCAUCGGACACUGGCACGGGCAUGAAGUUCCGAGUUCAGUCCCCGGCAGCACGUGUACCAGAGUGUCUGGUUCUCUCUCUGCUAUGAUUCUAAUAAACUAAAUAAAGCUGCUGAUCGAUCGA
Long non-coding RNA from Erinaceus europaeus (western European hedgehog), 418 nucleotides. RefSeq lists it as uncharacterized. The transcript has 2 exons. The record is from RefSeq and is a predicted model, not a curated record. NCBI's taxonomy places the organism in Eukaryota, Metazoa, Chordata, Mammalia, Eulipotyphla, Erinaceidae.